This 129-nucleotide ribosomal RNA is filed under the name uncultured Bacteroidota bacterium. Its description in RNAcentral is "uncultured Bacteroidetes bacterium partial 16S rRNA". It matches the Rfam family "Bacterial small subunit ribosomal RNA", at positions 355 to 485 of the family's 1533-position model. Lineage: Bacteria; Pseudomonadati; Bacteroidota. The record is from RNAcentral.
UGAGGAAUAUUGGACAAUGGAUGGAAAUCUGAUCCAGCCAUGCCGCGUGCAGGAAGACCGGCUAUGGGUUGUAAACUGUCUUUUGUAUGGGAGCAAUAAUGAUGUACGUGUAGAUUGAUGGUAUACCGA